AACAGUCGCAUAUAGAACUCGCAAGGGUCUACAUGAGGAAAGUCCGGGCUCCAUAGAGCAAUGAUGCUGGAUAACGUCCAGUGAGGGUAACCUUAAGGAAAGUGCAACAGAAAAUAACAGCCCUAGCUUUGCUAGAGCAAUAGGUGAAAAGGUGAGGUAAGAGCUUACCGCCAGUUUGGAGACAAACGUGGGUCAAUGUAAACCCCAUCUGGAGCAACACCUAAAAAGAAGGCUAAGACUGCUCGUCAUCUUCUGAAUUGGUGGCUUGAGAUAUGUAGUAAUAUAUAUCCUAGAUAAAUGACUGUUCAAGACAGAACCCGGCUUAUAGAUAUACUC
This 336-nucleotide RNase P RNA is filed under the name pig gut metagenome. Its description in RNAcentral is "Bacterial RNase P class A". It matches the Rfam family "Bacterial RNase P class A". Rfam says of the family: Ribonuclease P (RNase P) is a ubiquitous endoribonuclease, found in archaea, bacteria and eukarya as well as chloroplasts and mitochondria. Its best characterised activity is the generation of mature 5'-ends of tRNAs by cleaving the 5'-leader elements of precursor-tRNAs. The record is from RNAcentral.